CGCACUCCUGUGUGGAUUUAAUAUCAGUCUCUGGUUGGUUCUCGCUGGGUCUAACAGUCAACUUGAUUGGAUGGAGAAAAGUCUAGGAAGUUAGUAAAGCACACUUGUCGGUGUGUCUGUGAGAAUGCUUUCAGAGAUAAUUGGCAUGUGGGACAGUAAAAUGAAGGGAGACCCACCCUGAAAGUGGUGGCAUUGUCCAAUAGGCUGGGGCCCAGAUGGAAUGAAAACAGGAGAAAAGGAGGAAAGCAGUGAGGGUCAUGCUUACUCUCCUGCUCUCGCUCCUUCUCAUGCUCUGACUCCCUCUUACCUUCUCAUUCCCUCUUGCUCUCACUUUCUUGCUCUCUCUGCUCCCAGCUGCCAUGAAGUGAGCAGCUUUUCUCUACCACACCUUCCCACAAUGGUGUUUCUGCCACACCACAGGCCUAGAAGCAGUGGGACUGGCUAUCAGCUGAAGCCUCUGAAAUCAUGACCCAAAAUAAACCUUUCCUCCUUUGAGUUUUCAGGUAUUUUGCCCCUAAAGACAACACAUCAGGAUCAGGUAUUCUGGUUUUUUGUUUUUUUUUUUUUUUGGUACCUGGGAUCCAACUCACAACCUUGCACUUGUAAGGCAGGCACAGUGCCACUGACCUAAAUCCCCAGCCCAAGUAUUCUGUUCUUAAUAAUAGAAUAUGGGCUAAAACAAUCACACAAAAUCCUUCCUAAAUUUCUCCAUGUAUAAUUCUUUUUUUUUUUUUUUUGGUACUGGGGUUCGAACUCGGGGUCCUUGCACUUGUGCAACAGGCGGUGAAACCACUGAGCUAAAUCCCCAGCCCUUCAUGUAUAAUUCUUCAGAUUCUAUGCUGAGAAGUAAAUCUCACUUAGAUACUGAUGACACUUAGCAUCUCUUUUUAAGCCACUUUUUCCUAACCUCUUAUUUUAAAUUGUAGAUGUAAACUAUACAAACAGAAUCUCUGUAUCUCUUCUCUCGGCUUCCCCUAAUGUUAACAUUCUAUCCAGCCAUAGUGCAAUUGCUAAAGCUAGGAAGUGUGUACUGGUACUGUGCCUUUAAGUACAAAUCCUGUUUGACUUUGACCAGGGUUCCUCCUAUAAUACUGCACUGGAUUGCCACGUUUCUUGGUCUCCUCCCAUCUGACAGCUCAUCUUUCAUGACCUUGACACUUGGGAAGUAUAGUGCUUGGGUGUUUUAUAGGAUGUCCUUCAACUUUCGUGGGUCUGAAGCCUCAGUGGAAUAAGAUUUUGGCAGGAAUGCCACCAAAAUGAUGUGACCUUCUCAGUAUCUCUUAUUAGCCUUGAUUACUUGGUUAUGACAGUGUCUGCUGGGUUUCUUCAUUAUAAAUCUAUUCUUCCCUUGAUUGUUAAUAUCUUGUGGGGCAAUACUUAGAGACUGCAAAUAUCUUGUUCCUCUUCAAACUUUGUCUACUAUUAAUUUUAGUAUCUACCAAUUGAUUUUGACUCAACAACCCACCAAGCUUUCCAACAGGAGGAUGCACCUUAUUUACUUGAAGUUGAGUUGAAAAUAGCACAAAUAAGUGGAUGAAAUACUGAACUGAAAUAUUUUCUUAACAUUUGCUUCUUGGUUUGUUUGUUUGAGGUUUUUUUUGGAGACGGGGUCUCGCUGUGUAGUUCACGCUGACCUCAAACUCAUAUCCCCCUGCCUCAGCCUCUUGAGUGCAAGGAUUACAGGCUGUCACCUGCUUCCUCCCCUGCAGUGACCUCCUUUCAGGUAGGUAAGUCUUCAGAGGACGUGGCCCUGGAAGAAGAGACCAUCUGUGAGAACAGUCAGCCCAAGGAGGCUUCUCUAUGGACAGAUCACCCAGGGG
Molecule: long non-coding RNA, 1820 nt
Organism: Heterocephalus glaber (naked mole-rat)
Lineage: Eukaryota; Metazoa; Chordata; Mammalia; Rodentia; Bathyergidae
Source: Ensembl